UCUUAUAUAUUGUAUCUUUAUUAUAGCAUAUUCUCUAUACAAGUAUUUUGUGCACAAUUAAAUAAAACAUUGACAAAAAUGUCAACAGCUUCAGGUAACAUGUCAAUGAACAGCUCAUGUGUGACAGGAAAAAUAAUUCUGCCUUCAGUCAGUGUGUGAAAUAGCACCUUUGAUUCACAAAAACUAACAAAAAGAAUCAUUUACUACUUCAACAAUCUAUUUAACGUGUCUAAGUAUAUGUUUCAUAUCUAUACACAGGCAUAAUAUAGAGCAGUUAAACACAUUUCACUAACACCGAGUCUAAUUGCACUAUAGUGUCUCAAUCACUGGCAUAUGAACAUGAAAAAUCAUAUUUCACUGAUUUCUCCCAGUGAAAGGACAACAAAACCUGAAAUCACCUACAUUAAGUUGUCUGGCGUA
Molecule: long non-coding RNA, 420 nt
Organism: Cyprinus carpio (common carp)
Lineage: Eukaryota; Metazoa; Chordata; Actinopteri; Cypriniformes; Cyprinidae
Exons: 2
Source: RefSeq, a predicted model, not a curated record